This 229-nucleotide ribosomal RNA is filed under the name uncultured bacterium. Its description in RNAcentral is "partial 16S ribosomal RNA". It matches the Rfam family "Bacterial small subunit ribosomal RNA", at positions 347 to 568 of the family's 1533-position model. The record is from RNAcentral.
GGCAGCAGUAGGGAAUCUUCCGCAAUGGACGAAAGUCUGACGGAGCAACGCCGCGUGAGUGAUGAAGGCUUUCGGGUCGUAAAACUCUGUUGUUAGGGAAGAACAAGUGCUAGUUGAAUAAGCUGGCACCUUGACGGUACCUAACCAGAAAGCCACGGCUAACUACGUGCCAGCAGCCGCGGUAAUACGUAGGUGGCAAGCGUUAUCCGAAUUAUUGGGCGUAAAGCGC